CCUGUAAAUUUUGGCUUGGUGAUGGAGUGAGCAGGCAUUGCACACGAGCAGCUGUGCAUGUGGAGAGUCCUCCCCAAUCAAACUGGUGGUCUGCAAGGACUUCACCAUGUAAGUGGUGAUGGCCUGGCAGUUGAAAAGCUGGGGAUCGGCUCAGGCUGGCAACAGAGCAAGCAAAACUGGCUGCCACCUGCAGUGAUGGGAUACUGGACUUGAAUGCU
Molecule: signal recognition particle RNA, 218 nt
Filed under: Scrippsiella trochoidea
Lineage: Eukaryota; Dinophyceae; Peridiniales; Peridiniaceae
Description: partial Metazoan signal recognition particle RNA
Rfam family: Metazoan signal recognition particle RNA (bases 56-217)
About the family: The signal recognition particle (SRP) is a universally conserved ribonucleoprotein.
Source: RNAcentral